ACAGGUUCAGGUCAUCACUUAGAUAUUUUUGAGGUACUACCAGUUUCAUCUUUUGGAGAUUCAGUCACUCCAGCUCCACUACCUACAACUCCAGUUGUAGCUCCACCACCUACAACUCCAGUUGUAGUUCCACCACCUAUAGCUCCAGUUCCUCCACAUAAUCCAGUUCAACCUUCUGCAGCUCCACCACUCUUGACUUAUCAUCGUCGUCCACAUCCAGCAUCAGGCC
RNAcentral lists this long non-coding RNA (229 nucleotides) under Nicotiana tabacum (common tobacco). Its description in RNAcentral is "long non-coding RNA (NTAB_LNC012371)". Lineage: Eukaryota; Viridiplantae; Streptophyta; Magnoliopsida; Solanales; Solanaceae. The record is from RNAcentral.